CAUGUCUAAGUAUANNNNNACUAUACUGUGAAACUGCGAAUGGCUCAUUAAAUNAGUUAUCGUUUAUUUGAUAGUACCUUACUACAUGGAUAACCGUGGUAAUUCUAGAGCUAAUACAUGCUAAAAACCUCGACUUCGGAAGGGGUGUAUUUAUUAGAUAAAAAACCAAUGCCCUUCGGGGCUCCCUGGUGAUUCAUAAUAACUUAACGAAUCGCAUGGCCUUGUGCCGGCGAUGGUUCAUUCAAAUUUCUGCCCUAUCAACUUUCGAUGGUAGGAUAGUGGCCUACCAUGGUUUCAACGGGUAACGGGGAAUUAGGGUUCUAUUCCGGAGAAGGAGCCUGAGAAACGGCUACUACAUCCAAGGAAGGCAGCAGGCGCGCAAAUUACCCAAUCCCGACACGGGGAGGUAGUGACAAUAAAUACUGAUACAGGGCUCUUUUGAGUCUUGUAAUUGGAAUGAGUACAAUUUAAAUACCUUAACGAGGAACAAUUGGAGGGCAAGUCUGGUGCCAGCAGCCGCGGUAAUUCCAGCUCCAAUAGCGUAUAUUAAAGUUGUUGCAGUUAAAAAGCUCGUAGUUGAACCUUGGGCCUGGUUGGCCGGUCCGCCUCACCGCGUGCACUGGUCCGACCGGGUCUUUCCUUCUGGGGAGCCGCAUGCCCUUCACUGGGUGUGUCGGGGAACCAGGACUUUUACUUUGAAAAAAUUAGAGUGUUCAAAGCAGGCCUAUGCUCGAAUACAUUAGCAUGGAAUAAUAGAAUAGGACGUGUGGUUUCUAUUUUGUUGGUUUCUAGGACCGCCGUAAUGAUUAAUAGGGAUAGUCGGGGGCAUCAGUAUUCAAUUGUCAGAGGUGAAAUUCUUGGAUUUAUUGAAGACUAACUACUGCGAAAGCAUUUGCCAAGGAUGUUUUCAUUAAUCAGUGAACGAAAGUUAGGGGAUCGAAGACGAUCAGAUACCGUCGUAGUCUUAACCAUAAACUAUGCCGACUAGGGAUCGGGCNAUGUUAUNUUUUUUGNNUCGCUCGGCACCU
This 1028-nucleotide ribosomal RNA is filed under the name Botrytis cinerea. RNAcentral's name for it is "SSU rRNA". It matches the Rfam family "Eukaryotic small subunit ribosomal RNA", at positions 54 to 1088 of the family's 1831-position model. Lineage: Eukaryota; Fungi; Ascomycota; Leotiomycetes; Helotiales; Sclerotiniaceae. The record is from RNAcentral.